AGUGAACGCUGGCGGUAGGCCUAACACAUGCAAGUCGAACGGCAGCACAGUAAGAGCUUGCUCUUACGGGUGGCGAGUGGCGGACGGGUGAGGAAUACAUCGGAAUCUACUUUUUCGUGGGGGAUAACGUAGGGAAACUUACGCUAAUACCGCAUACGACCUACGGGUGAAAGCAGGGGAUCUUCUGACCUUGCGCGAUUGAACGAGCCGAUGUCGGAUUAGCUAGUUGGCGGGGUAAAGGCCCACCAAGGCGACGAUCCGUAGCUGGUCUGAGAGGAUGAUCAGCCACACUGGAACUGAGACACGGUCCAGACUCCUACGGGAGGCAGCAGUGGGGAAUAUUGGACAAUGGGCGCAAGCCUGAUACAGCCAUACCGCGUGGGUGGAGAAGGCCUUCGGGUUGUAAAGCCCUUUUGUUGGGAAAGAAAAGCAGCAGGUUAAUACCCCGCUGUUCUGACGGUACCCAAAGAAUAAGCACCGGCUAACUUCGUG
Molecule: ribosomal RNA, 492 nt
Filed under: uncultured bacterium
Lineage: Bacteria
Description: partial 16S ribosomal RNA
Rfam family: Bacterial small subunit ribosomal RNA
Source: RNAcentral